Triplophysa dalaica is the source of this 888-nucleotide long non-coding RNA. RefSeq lists it as uncharacterized. The transcript is spliced from 3 exons. The record is from RefSeq and is a predicted model, not a curated record. Lineage: Eukaryota; Metazoa; Chordata; Actinopteri; Cypriniformes; Nemacheilidae.
CAGUGAGAUUCUUAUCGCGCGAUAAAACAAAUGUCGCCGUUAAUCUAUUCUCAAAGUUGGGUUGGGAGCUGGGUCUAUACUACGCAAGCUAUGAUGACUUUCACCUUGAUAUUUUAGCGCGGAUGUAUACCAGUUUAACUGCACUGUACGGAGCGAGAACGAGAUUUUUCAAUUCGCGUCAUUCGCGGAAGCAGAAGCCGCCUCAUCAUCUCAUGACCAGGGCUUCAUUCGCGUCCUUAGUGCCGCCUCAUCAUCUCUUAACCAGGGCUUCAUUCGCGCGAUUCGCGCAGCAAGCUCCAGAGCUGUUAGUCGUCAACCGGAAUCUACCCUUGUCUUGCUCUCUGCUUACUCAAAUAUCUACGACUGCCAUUACCUCUUCUCGAGGGAUCUUGCUACUACCUCCAGCUGCCUGGGGAACCCACAGGAAUUGAGGCUACGGACCUCCACUGUCAAGCAUACGGGAGUACCAGGGUUGUGCUCGUCAUCUCCCGCUCGAGGUAGAUACAGUAGUUCGUCUCAAGUCUCUUGCUAGAAGGAGUCUAGCCAAUUGAACUGUCAUCCUCAAGUGGAUUCUUCCUUGGCUCUCGCUGGAAGGAAUCAAACAAGUUUGAACCGUCAUCAAGUGAAUUCUUCCUUGGCUCUCGCUGGCAGAAAUUACACCAGUCGAACCAUCAUCAAGUGGAUUCUUCCUUGGCCUUCAAGUGGAUUCUUCCUUCCUUCUUCAGUCCCCUGAACCUCCCGGCCGAGCACUCGAGCCUGUAUUGACUUUUGCUGCAUGACAUUCAGAUUAUCUGUCUUUGUGCCUAUUAUUCCCUGUAUGAGCAUUUUGAGCUGGGUCGAAUAAAACAUACCUUCUCCUGCAUCUGACUCUGAGUCGUUCUUAACACU